This 623-nucleotide ribosomal RNA is filed under the name uncultured fungus. RNAcentral's name for it is "eukaryotic LSU rRNA". It matches the Rfam family "Eukaryotic large subunit ribosomal RNA", at positions 40 to 647 of the family's 3401-position model. Lineage: Eukaryota; Fungi. The record is from RNAcentral.
AUAUCAAUAAGCGGAGGAAAAGAAACUAACAAGGAUUCCCCUAGUAACUGCGAGUGAAGCGGGAAAAGCUCAAAUUUAAAAUCUGGCAGUCUCUGGCUGUCCGAGUUGUAAUCUAGAGAAGUAAUGCCCGUGCUGGACCGUGUAUAAGUCUCCUGGGAUGGGGCGUCAUAGAGGGUGAGAAUCCCGUCUUUGACACGGACUACCAGUGCAUUGUGGUAUGCUCUCAAAGAGUCGAGUUGUUUGGGAAUGCAGCUCAAAAUGGGUGGUAAAUUCCAUCUAAAGCUAAAUAUUGGCGAGAGACCGAUAGCGAACAAGUACCGUGAGGGAAAGAUGAAAAGAACUUUGGAAAGAGAGUUAAACAGUACGUGAAAUUGCUGAAAGGGAAACGCUUGAAGUCAGUCGCGUUGUCCGGGAAUCAGCCUUGCUUCUGCAUGGUGUACUUUCUGGUUGACGGGUCAGCAUCAAUUUUGACCGCUGGAAAAAGGCCUGGGGAAUGUGGCAGCUUCGGCUGUGUUAUAGCCCCUAGUCGCAUACAGUGGUUGGGAUUGAGGAACUCAGCACGCCGCAAGGCCGGGUUUCGACCACGUUCGUGCUUAGGAUGCUGGCAUAAUGGCUUUAAGCGA